CGGGGCUUCCGGAUUAUUGGGCGUAAGAGCUCGUAGGCGGUUUGUCGCGUCUGCCGUGAAAGUCCGGGGCUCAACUCCGGAUCUGCGGUGGGUACGGGCAGACUAGAGUGAUGUAGGGGAGACUGGAAUUCCUGGUGUAGCGGUGAAAUGCGCAGAUAUCAGGAGGAACACCGAUGGCGAAGGCAGGUCUCUGGGCAUUAACUGACGCUGAGGAGCGAAAGCAUGGGGAGCGAACAGGAUUAGAUACCCUGGUAGUCCAUGCCGUAAACGUUGGGCACUAGGUGUGGGGGACAUUCCACGUUUUCCGCGCCGUAGCUAACGCAUUAAGUGCCCCGCCUGGGGAGUACGGCCGCAAGGCUAAAACUCAAAGGAAUUGACGGGGGCCCGCACAAGCGGCGGAGCAUGCGGAUUAAUUCGAUGCAACGCGAAGAACCUUACCAAGGCUUGACAUGGGCCGGACCGGGCUGGAAACAGUCCUUCCCCUUUGGGGCCGGUUCACAGGUGGUGCAUGGUUGUCGUCAGCUCGUGUCGUGAGAUGUUGGGUUAAGUCCCGCAACGAGCGCAACCCUCGUUCCAUGUUGCCAGCGCGUAAUGGCGGGGACUCAUGGGAGACUGCCGGGGUCAACUCGGAGGAAGGUGGGGACGACGUCAAAUCAUCAUGCCCCUUAUGUCUUGGGCUUCACGCAUGCUACAAUGGCCGGUACAAAGGGUUGCGAUACUGUGAGGUGGAGCUAAUCCCAAAAAGCCGGUCUCAGUUCGGAUUGGGGUCUGCAACUCGACCCCAUGAAGUCGGAGUCGCUAGUAAUCGCAGAUCAGCAACGCUGCGGUGAAUACGUUCCCGGGCCUUGUACACACCGCCCGUCAAGUCACGAAAGUUGGUAACACCCGAAGCCGGUGGCCUAACCCCUUGUGGGAGGGAGCUGUCGAAGUGGGACUGGCGAUUGGGACUAAGUCGUAACAAGGUAAC
This 967-nucleotide ribosomal RNA is filed under the name uncultured bacterium. RNAcentral's name for it is "bacterial SSU rRNA". It matches the Rfam family "Bacterial small subunit ribosomal RNA", at positions 537 to 1500 of the family's 1533-position model. The record is from RNAcentral.